GACGAACGCUGGCGGCGUGCCUAAUACAUGCAAGUAGAACGCUGAAGGAGGAGCUUGCUUCUCUGGAUGAGUUGCGAACGGGUGAGUAACGCGUAGGUAACCUGCCUGGUAGCGGGGGAUAACUAUUGGAAACGAUAGCUAAUACCGCAUAAGAGUAGAUGUUGCAUGACAUUUGCUUAAAAGGUGCAAUUGCAUCACUACCAGAUGGACCUGCGUUGUAUUAGCUAGUUGGUGGGGUAACGGCUUACCAAGGCGACGAUACAUAGCCGACCUGAGAGGGUGAUCGGCCACACUGGGACUGAGACACGGCCCAGACUCCUACGGGAGGCAGCAGUAGGGAAUCUUCGGCAAUAGACGGAAGUCUGACCGAGCAACGCCGCGUGAGUGAAGAAGGUUUUCGGAUCGUAAAGCUCUGUUGUAAGAGAAGAACGAGUGUGAGAGUGGAAAGUUCACACUGUGACGGUAUCUUACCAGAAAGGGACGGCUAACUACGUG
This 495-nucleotide ribosomal RNA is filed under the name uncultured bacterium. RNAcentral describes it as "partial 16S ribosomal RNA". It matches the Rfam family "Bacterial small subunit ribosomal RNA", at positions 28 to 507 of the family's 1533-position model. The record is from RNAcentral.